Molecule: ribosomal RNA, 274 nt
Filed under: uncultured bacterium
Lineage: Bacteria
Description: partial 16S ribosomal RNA
Rfam family: Bacterial small subunit ribosomal RNA
Source: RNAcentral
AUACGUAGGGUGCGAGCGUUAAUCGGAAUUACUGGGCGUAAAGCGUGCGCAGGCGGCUUUAUAAGCCAGAUGUGAAAUCCCCGGGCUCAACCUGGGAACUGCAUUUGGAACUGUAAGGCUAGAGUACGGCAGAGGGGGGUAGAAUUCCACGUGUAGCAGUGAAAUGCGUAGAUAUGUGGAGGAAUACCGAUGGCGAAGGCAGCCCCCUGGGUCGAUACUGACGCUCAUGCACGAAAGCGUGGGGAGCAAACAGGAGUAGAAACCCCAGUAGUCC